This 483-nucleotide ribosomal RNA is filed under the name uncultured bacterium. RNAcentral's name for it is "partial 16S ribosomal RNA". It matches the Rfam family "Bacterial small subunit ribosomal RNA", at positions 28 to 523 of the family's 1533-position model. The record is from RNAcentral.
GACGAACGCUGGCGGCGUGCUUAACACAUGCAAGUCGAACGAUGAUCAGGAGCUUGCUCCUGUGAUUAGUGGCGAACGGGUGAGUAACACGUGAGUAACCUGCCCCUGACUCUGGGAUAAGCGUUGGAAACGACGUCUAAUACUGGAUACGACUGCCGGCCGCAUGGUCUGGUGGUGGAAAGAUUUUUUGGUUGGGGAUGGACUCGCGGCCUAUCAGCUUGUUGGUGAGGUAAUGGCUCACCAAGGCGACGACGGGUAGCCGGCCUGAGAGGGUGACCGGCCAGACUGGGACUGAGAAACGGCCCAGACUCCUACGGGAGGCAGCAGUGGGGAAUAUUGCACAAUGGGCGAAAGCCUGAUGCAGCAGCGCCGCGUGAGGGAUGACGGCCUUCGGGUUGUAAACCUCUUUUAGUAGGGAAGAAGCGAAAGUGACGGUACCUGCAGAAAAAGCACCGGCUAACUACGUGCCAGCCGCCGCCGUAA